RNAcentral lists this ribosomal RNA (508 nucleotides) under uncultured bacterium. Its description in RNAcentral is "partial 16S ribosomal RNA". It matches the Rfam family "Bacterial small subunit ribosomal RNA", at positions 28 to 523 of the family's 1533-position model. The record is from RNAcentral.
GAUGAACGCUAGCUACAGGCUUAACACAUGCAAGUCGAGGGGAAACGACAUCGAAAGCUUGCUUUUGAUGGGCGUCGACCGGCGCACGGGUGAGUAACGCGUAUCCAACCUGCCCACCACUUGGGGAUAACCUUGCGAAAGUAAGACUAAUACCCAAUGAUAUCUCUAGAAGACAUCUGAAAGGGAUUAAAGAUUUAUCGGCGAUGGAUGGGGAUGCGUCUGAUUAGCUUGUUGGCGGGGUAACGGCCCACCAAGGCGACGAUCAGUAGGGGUUCUGAGAGGAAGGUCCCCCACAUUGGAACUGAGACACGGUCCAAACUCCUACGGGAGGCAGCAGUGAGGAAUAUUGGUCAAUGGGCGAGAGCCUGAACCAGCCAAGUAGCGUGCAGGAUGACGGCCCUAUGGGUUGUAAACUGCUUUUAUAAGGGAAUAAAGUGGGAGUCGUGACUCUUUUUGCAUGUACCUUAUGAAUAAGGACCAGCUAAUUCCGUGCCAGCCGCCGCAGUAA